UGGGGAAUAUUGGACAAUGGGCGAAAGCCUGAUCCAGCCAUGCCGCGUGUGUGAAGAAGGUCUUCGGAUUGUAAAGCACUUUAAGUUGGGAGGAAGGGCAGUAAGCGAAUACCUUGCUGUUUUGACGUUACCGACAUAAUAAGCACCGGCUAACUCUGUGCCAGCAGCCGCGGUAAUACAGAGGGUGCAAGCGUUAAUCGGAAUUACUGGGCGUAAAGCGCGCGUAGGUGGUUCGUUAAGUUGAAUGUGAAAGCCCCGGGCUCAACCUGGGAACUGCAUCCAAAACUGGCGAGCUAGAGUAGGGCAGAGGGUGGUGGAAUUUCCUGUGUAGCGGUGAAAUGCGUAGAUAUAGGAAGGAACACCAGUGGCGAAGGCGACCACCUGGGCUCAUACUGACACUGAGGUGCGAAAGCGUGGGGAGCAAACAGG
RNAcentral lists this ribosomal RNA (429 nucleotides) under Pseudomonadota bacterium. RNAcentral describes it as "Proteobacteria bacterium partial 16S ribosomal RNA". It matches the Rfam family "Bacterial small subunit ribosomal RNA", at positions 355 to 776 of the family's 1533-position model. Lineage: Bacteria; Pseudomonadati; Pseudomonadota. The record is from RNAcentral.